Molecule: ribosomal RNA, 466 nt
Filed under: uncultured bacterium
Lineage: Bacteria
Description: partial 16S ribosomal RNA
Rfam family: Bacterial small subunit ribosomal RNA
Source: RNAcentral
GACGAACGCUGGCGGCGUGCUUAACACAUGCAAGUCGAACGGAAAGGUCUCUUGCUGGCGGUUCUCGCGUUGCCAACGGGCGAGUAACACAUAAGUGACUUACCCUUCUCUUUGGGUUGGCUUCCUUCAACAGAGCCGAAUACCUACUAGGAGAUCCUUUUGCCUGCUUGGUGCUGUAGAGUUUCGGCGGUUGGCGAUGGACUGUCGGCUUAUCGGCUCGUCAGUGGGUGAGUGGCUUACUAAGGCAUUGACGGGUAGCCGACCCGUGAGGGUGAUCGGCCACAUUGGGCCUGAGAUACGGCCCAGACUCCUACGGGAGGCAGCAGUGGGGAGUAUUGCACAAUGGGUGGAAGCCUGAUGCAGCAACGCCGUGUGCGGGAUGACGGCCUUCGGGUUGUAAACCGCUUUCGCUGAUGACAAAGCUUUGUGGGACGGUAGUGGGUAAAGAGGCACCGGCUAACUACGU